This is a microRNA precursor of Oryza sativa Indica Group (long-grained rice), 190 nucleotides long. It matches the Rfam family "MIR812 microRNA precursor family". NCBI's taxonomy places the organism in Eukaryota, Viridiplantae, Streptophyta, Magnoliopsida, Poales, Poaceae. The record is from Rfam.
AAAUAGACAAACCCUGGGUUUAUCCAACGUUUAAUUGUCCGUCUUGUAUGAAUUUUUUUAUAAUUAGUAUUUUCAUUAUUGUUAGAUGAUAAAACAUGAUUAAUAAUUUAUGUGUGACUUGUCUUUUUAAUUUUUUCAAAUAAGACGGACAGUCAAACGUUAGACACGGAAACCCAGAGUUUAUCUUUUU